UGCCAGCCGCCGCGGUAAUACGGAGGGAGCGAGCGUUAAUCGGAAUUACUGGGCGUAAAGCGCGCGUAGGCGGCUUUGUAAGUCGGAUGUGAAAGCCCGGGGCUCAACCUCGGAAUAGCAUUUGAAACUGGUCAUCUAGAGUACUGUAGAGGGGGGGUAGAAUUUCAGGUGUAGCGGUGAAAUGCGUAGAGAUCUGAAGGAAUACCAGUGGCGAAGGCGACUUCCUGGGCCAAUACUGACGCUGAGGUGCGAAAGCGUGGGGAGCAAACAGGAUUAGAUA
RNAcentral lists this ribosomal RNA (280 nucleotides) under uncultured bacterium. Its description in RNAcentral is "partial 16S ribosomal RNA". It matches the Rfam family "Bacterial small subunit ribosomal RNA", at positions 506 to 784 of the family's 1533-position model. The record is from RNAcentral.